GAACGCUAGCGACAGGCUUAACACAUGCAAGUCGAGGGGUAACAGGGUAGCAAUACCGCUGACGACCGGCGCACGGUGAGUAACGCGUAUGCAACCUGCCUAUAACUGGGGAAUAGCUCCCUGAAAGGGGAAUUAACACCGCAUAACACUAUUGAUUCGCAUGGAUUAGUAGUUAAAUGUAGCGAUACAGGUUAUAGAUGGGCAUGCGUGACAUUAGCUAGUUGGUGAGGUAACGGCUCACCAAGGCUACGAUGUCUAGGGGUUCUGAGAGGAAGGUCCCCCCACACUGGUACUGAGACACGGACCAGACUCCUACGGGAGGCAGCAGUGAGGAAUAUUGGUCAAUGGGCGCAAGCCUGAACCAGCCAUGUCGCGUGCAGGAAGACUGCCCUAUGGGUUGUAAACUGCUUUUAUAGUAGAAGAAACACAUCUACGUGUAGAUGUCUGCCAGUAUACUAUGAAUAAGCAUCGGCUAACUCCGUGCCAGCAGCCGC
Molecule: ribosomal RNA, 494 nt
Filed under: uncultured bacterium
Lineage: Bacteria
Description: bacterial SSU rRNA
Rfam family: Bacterial small subunit ribosomal RNA
Source: RNAcentral